RNAcentral lists this ribosomal RNA (301 nucleotides) under uncultured bacterium. RNAcentral's name for it is "partial 16S ribosomal RNA". It matches the Rfam family "Bacterial small subunit ribosomal RNA", at positions 509 to 807 of the family's 1533-position model. The record is from RNAcentral.
CAGUCGCCGCGGUAAAACAGAGGGUGCAAGCGUUAAUCGGAAUUACUGGGCGUAAAGCGCGCGUAGGUGGUUCGCCAAGUUGGAUGUGAAAUCCCCGGGCUCAACCUGGGAACUGCAUCCAAAACUGGCGAGCUAGAGUAUGGUAGAGGGUGGUGGAAUUUCCUGUGUAGCGGUGAAAUGCGUAGAUAUAGGAAGGAACAUCAGUGGCGAAGGCGACCACCUGGACUGAUACUGACACUGAGGUGCGAAAGCGUGGGGAGCAAACAGGAUUAGAUACCCCUGUAGUCCCUGUCUCUUAUAC